CCCCCCCAAAUUUCGAUAUUGGAAUCACUUUCCUUCUUCCUCGGGCCAGCCUUUGCUCUGUCCCCUCAGGUCAACUCAAGGUAGACAGUGUGGCGACUGGAGAGGUCGGGGAACAAGCUUUGUUUCAGCUAAGGGAAAAACAAGCGUUCACAGGAGUCCCCGGACACCUCCCACUCGGGAGAUAGUUAACGGGGGUCCUGCCAACCCUUCCCAUCCAACUUCCAUCUGAAAAGGAUUUUCUGCUAAAGUUGGGUCCAUGGCCAUCCAGCACCUAUAAGGCCGGCAGGAGCGUCUGCCCUCUACUCAGUUAAAGCCUGAAGUCGUUUCCUUUCGAUGGCGCUUAGGAGGCCCAAAAGAGGGGCGACAGAACAUGAUGUGACACGGGCCGGGCGCCCCCAGAAGCCCGGGAACAAACGUUUCUACUUUCCAGGUCCACUGGUGUUUGGUGUACCCAUGUGACUAAUUUGUCCAAAGAGAGAUUUCUGUGAAUAGACCAGAAGCCGACCUUUACAGUGUGUUUGGGUGCAGAUUCUAGAGGAUGUCUGUGUGCCUUUCUCCCCUUUCAAACGAUAGGGAAGAUAUACUGAGUCCUAUCUUCAGCUAGGGGAUGCCCUGGCCUCCUUCCUAUCUUCAAAGCCUGCAAGAGUGGGCUGAGUCCUUCUCACUCCACCCUCUUCUUUUGUGUACCUUUUCCACUUGUAAGGACCCUUGUAAUUGCAUUGGAUUCACCUGGAUAACCCAGACUGAUCUCCCUAUUUUAAGCAGGUAUCAAUAGGAAGUUUUCAGUCAACCACAAGGUCUCAUAAUCCUUCCUGGAACUAUUCUUGAAUAGUUUGCCGUCUGAAAUGUUGAGAGCUUGCCCCUUGGAUAACAUGCCCCUUGGAUAACAACCAAGUCAGUUCAUGAGCAAGCAGUGGCAAACACUGUGUCCCACCAGCUCCUGUCUGACUG
Molecule: long non-coding RNA, 951 nt
Filed under: Pan troglodytes (chimpanzee)
Lineage: Eukaryota; Metazoa; Chordata; Mammalia; Primates; Hominidae
Description: long non-coding RNA NONPTRT014003
Source: RNAcentral